Long non-coding RNA from Callithrix jacchus (white-tufted-ear marmoset), 991 nucleotides. RefSeq lists it as uncharacterized. The record is from RefSeq and is a predicted model, not a curated record. NCBI's taxonomy places the organism in Eukaryota, Metazoa, Chordata, Mammalia, Primates, Cebidae.
AGGGGUGACCUGGCAUAGAACUGUGAAUAUAGGUCUUGAAGAUAAAUAUAUAGGUUUGGAUUCAAGCUUGGUUACUUACUGGCCACAAGACCUCGAACAAAUUGCUUGGUAUCUCUGUACCUCCAGCUUUCUCAUCUAUUAUAAGGACACUUUUAUCCCAUCUAGUUCAUAUGUAUAUAUAUGUAAAUAAAGUAAUGCAGCCAUAGCACAAUGGCACAGAAUAGGGCACUGUUAUUUCUACUGCAAGAUGAUAGAACAGUAGUAGGGGUAAGGAAAUAUAAGUGAAUAGAACAUAUAUUUGUGGAAUCUCAAAGCAAAAACAAACCUUAUCAAUAAGUAAGCUCUUCUAAGUUUUUCAUUUUGUAGACCCUCAGUCAGAUGCCCAGAGAAGUUAAAUGACUCACCGUGAGUGACCAAGCAAACUGAAAGAGCCGAGAGUUAUAUAAUCAGAGAUAUUUCUGGUUUCCUGGAAUUUUGACCACAGAUCAUACUAUCAGGCAGCUGAAUUGUAAGAAAACCAAGUAGUCUGAAAUCCAAGGACAGAUGAGACACUAGGCCUAGAUCAUCAGUGGAAGACAGUAGUAGACUGACACAUCAGUUAUACAAAUUCUGGUACCCAGUGUGGGGUGACUGAAAUGAGCUUGGGACAACUGAUAAAAAAUCAACAACAACAACAGCAGGAACAUUUUUUUUUCAACCAAGGUCAUCUCUCCUGGAUCUCUGCCUAUAGUGCCCAAUUAAAAAUAGAAGGUAAGAAUUUCUUUUUGUCCCUUCCUUCACAAAUUCAGAUUAGCAGGAAGAUAUCAUUUGUUUGGAUUGUGUCUUUUGUGUAAAUCUGAUUUGGAAGUACAUAUUUGUUAUUGAUCUUUUCCCUUCCAGAGACAGCCAUUUCUUUCCUAUUUGUCUUGUUCUAUGUUCUGAAGAUUUGGUUUUAUGAUCAGUAAGAAUAUUCUCUCUGGUCUCUGGCUGGGGGUGAAAGUAUCAGCUUACU